Molecule: long non-coding RNA, 310 nt
Filed under: Panax ginseng (ginseng)
Lineage: Eukaryota; Viridiplantae; Streptophyta; Magnoliopsida; Apiales; Araliaceae
Description: long non-coding RNA (PGIN_LNC017268)
Source: RNAcentral
UUUCUGGAAAGUAAUCAUGUGCAAGGCACAUGCCUUCAGGAAAAUUCCAGAAAUACCCUUUAGUCCUUAGAAUAAUGCCCAUGUUGCCCUGUCCUUCUAGCCACCAAUCCAAUCCCUCAAUCAAUUCCCAAAACGAGCCGCCUCCACGAAUCUUCUGCCUCGGGACACGUGGAGGCUUCUCCCGGGUCUAGCACAUUUAUUUCUGACUUUUUCGUCUUUAUUUCAUUAGGUUAUGCGAACCCUAAUUUGCACAUUUAAUGAGGUCGUGGAACCCUAAUUGUGCAUUUAAUAUAAUUAGGUCAUGUGAACC